GAUGAACGCUGGCGGCGUGCCUAAUACAUGCAAGUAGAACGCUGAAGGAAGGAGCUGCUCUUUCCGGAUGAGUUGCGAACGGGUGAGUAACGCGUAGGUAACCUGCCUGGUAGCGGGGGAUAACUAUUGGAAACGAUAGCUAAUACCGCAUAACAGUAGAUGUUGCAUGAUAUCUACUUAAAAGGUGCAAUUGCACCACUACCAGAUGGACCUGCGUUGUAUUAGCUAGUUGGUGAGGUAACGGCUCACCAAGGCGACGAUACAUAGCCGACCUGAGAGGGUGAUCGGCCACACUGGGACUGAGACACGGCCCAGACUCCUACGGGAGGCAGCAGUAGGGAAUCUUCGGCAAUGGACGGAAGUCUGACCGAGCAACGCCGCGUGAGUGAAGAAGGUUUUCGGAUCGUAAAGCUCUGUUGUAAGAGAAGAACGAGUGUGAGAGUGGAAAGUUCACACUGUGACGGUAUCUUACCAGAAAGGGACGGCUAACUACGUG
RNAcentral lists this ribosomal RNA (496 nucleotides) under uncultured bacterium. Its description in RNAcentral is "partial 16S ribosomal RNA". It matches the Rfam family "Bacterial small subunit ribosomal RNA", at positions 28 to 507 of the family's 1533-position model. The record is from RNAcentral.